UACGUAGGCAGCAAGCGUUGUUCGGAGUUACUGGGCGUAAAGGGUGUGUAGGCGGUCUUCUAAGUUUGGUGUGAAAUCUCCCGGCUCAACUGGGGAGGGUCGUGCGAUACGGUCGGACUCGAGGCCAGUAGGGGGACGCGGAAUUCCGGGUGUAGUGGUGGAAUGCGUAGAGAUCCGGAGGAACACCAGCGGCGAAGGCGGCGUCCUGGACUGGUACUGACGCUCAGGAGCGAAAGCGUGGGGAGCGAUCCGG
This 253-nucleotide ribosomal RNA is filed under the name uncultured bacterium. RNAcentral describes it as "partial 16S ribosomal RNA". It matches the Rfam family "Bacterial small subunit ribosomal RNA", at positions 524 to 776 of the family's 1533-position model. The record is from RNAcentral.